CAGCGAGCGGGUAAGCCAUCCUCUAAUCCCCUCACCCUCACAGGAGACUUCAAUGCCAGAUUCGAUGCUGACUGACCUGCUCGGACUUGCUGUGGGAGAUUGACGGGGCUCAAGGCUCACAGCCCCCACUCCGGUAACCUUGUCGGAGCCCCGAGUCUCACUGGAGGUCUCAGUCUAACAUGCGUGCAUUCACCAGUGAAGUUGUCCUGGCUAAAACACCUGGCACCAGCGUCUACCUGGGCAUCAACCGUCAUCCCAUCAACUCCCCUAGAUCCCAGUACAGCGCCCUCAGCCAGCAGGAAGCAGUUAAAGAGAGAAAUCGUCGCCUCUUUUCAUAAUAAUAAUCAUAAGUCGGGCUAUGAAAGGGUUUUGGCCCAGGCUGGACACUGUAGCCUGUAAAGCCAAGGAGCUCCUAUCUCCCCCUCCCUUAGGAAUCUACCUCUGGUGCCAAACAAAGACCAAUGGGCUACCUGUGCAUCCUAAUGCCCCUUAGGGUCCACCCCAAGCCGAGGCUACUUAUGUGCCUCACUCCAUGUGUUCCACAGGGGGAUCGCCGACCCCGGGGUGGAGAUGCUGCGCCCCUAGGGGGAUCGGGGGUGUGUCUCCCUGCAUUCUCAAAAUAAAGGUCAUUUAUAUUUCA
Cavia porcellus (domestic guinea pig) is the source of this 640-nucleotide long non-coding RNA. RefSeq lists it as uncharacterized. The record is from RefSeq and is a predicted model, not a curated record. The transcript is spliced from 2 exons. Lineage: Eukaryota; Metazoa; Chordata; Mammalia; Rodentia; Caviidae.